AUUGAACGCUGGCGGCAGGCUUAACACAUGCAAGUCGAGCGAGCGGCGGACGGGUGAGUAAUGUCUGGGAAACUGCCUGAUGGAGGGGGAUAACUACUGGAAACGGUAGCUAAUACCGCAUACCAUCAGAUGUGCCCAGAUGGGCUUAGCUAGUAGGUGGGGUAAUGGCUCACCAAGGCGACGAUCCAGAGCUGGUAUGAGAGGAUGACCAGCCACACUGGAACUUGACCACGGGCCAGACUCCUACGGGAGGUAGCAGUGGGGAAUAUUGCACAAUGGGCGCAAGCCUGAUGCAGCCAUGCCGCGUGUGUGAAGAAGGCCUUCGGGUUGUAAAGCACUUUCAGCGAGGAGGCGUUACUCGCAGAAGAAGCACCGGCUAACUCCGUGCCAGCAGCCGCGGUAAUUC
This 406-nucleotide ribosomal RNA is filed under the name uncultured bacterium. RNAcentral's name for it is "partial 16S ribosomal RNA". It matches the Rfam family "Bacterial small subunit ribosomal RNA", at positions 30 to 526 of the family's 1533-position model. The record is from RNAcentral.